This 1528-nucleotide ribosomal RNA is filed under the name Phocaeicola vulgatus. Its description in RNAcentral is "bacterial SSU rRNA". It matches the Rfam family "Bacterial small subunit ribosomal RNA". RNAcentral also lists the same sequence under 1 other name. Lineage: Bacteria; Pseudomonadati; Bacteroidota; Bacteroidia; Bacteroidales; Bacteroidaceae. The record is from RNAcentral.
ACAAUGAAGAGUUUGAUCCUGGCUCAGGAUGAACGCUAGCUACAGGCUUAACACAUGCAAGUCGAGGGGCAGCAUGGUCUUAGCUUGCUAAGGCCGAUGGCGACCGGCGCACGGGUGAGUAACACGUAUCCAACCUGCCGUCUACUCUUGGACAGCCUUCUGAAAGGAAGAUUAAUACAAGAUGGCAUCAUGAGUCCGCAUGUUCACAUGAUUAAAGGUAUUCCGGUAGACGAUGGGGAUGCGUUCCAUUAGAUAGUAGGCGGGGUAACGGCCCACCUAGUCUUCGAUGGAUAGGGGUUCUGAGAGGAAGGUCCCCCACAUUGGAACUGAGACACGGUCCAAACUCCUACGGGAGGCAGCAGUGAGGAAUAUUGGUCAAUGGGCGAGAGCCUGAACCAGCCAAGUAGCGUGAAGGAUGACUGCCCUAUGGGUUGUAAACUUCUUUUAUAAAGGAAUAAAGUCGGGUAUGGAUACCCGUUUGCAUGUACUUUAUGAAUAAGGAUCGGCUAACUCCGUGCCAGCAGCCGCGGUAAUACGGAGGAUCCGAGCGUUAUCCGGAUUUAUUGGGUUUAAAGGGAGCGUAGAUGGAUGUUUAAGUCAGUUGUGAAAGUUUGCGGCUCAACCGUAAAAUUGCAGUUGAUACUGGAUAUCUUGAGUGCAGUUGAGGCAGGCGGAAUUCGUGGUGUAGCGGUGAAAUGCUUAGAUAUCACGAAGAACUCCGAUUGCGAAGGCAGCCUGCUAAGCUGCAACUGACAUUGAGGCUCGAAAGUGUGGGUAUCAAACAGGAUUAGAUACCCUGGUAGUCCACACGGUAAACGAUGAAUACUCGCUGUUUGCGAUAUACGGCAAGCGGCCAAGCGAAAGCGUUAAGUAUUCCACCUGGGGAGUACGCCGGCAACGGUGAAACUCAAAGGAAUUGACGGGGGCCCGCACAAGCGGAGGAACAUGUGGUUUAAUUCGAUGAUACGCGAGGAACCUUACCCGGGCUUAAAUUGCAGAUGAAUUACGGUGAAAGCCGUAAGCCGCAAGGCAUCUGUGAAGGUGCUGCAUGGUUGUCGUCAGCUCGUGCCGUGAGGUGUCGGCUUAAGUGCCAUAACGAGCGCAACCCUUGUUGUCAGUUACUAACAGGUCAUGCUGAGGACUCUGACAAGACUGCCAUCGUAAGAUGUGAGGAAGGUGGGGAUGACGUCAAAUCAGCACGGCCCUUACGUCCGGGGCUACACACGUGUUACAAUGGGGGGUACAGAGGGCCGCUACCACGCGAGUGGAUGCCAAUCCCCAAAACCUCUCUCAGUUCGGACUGGAGUCUGCAACCCGACUCCACGAAGCUGGAUUCGCUAGUAAUCGCGCAUCAGCCACGGCGCGGUGAAUACGUUCCCGGGCCUUGUACACACCGCCCGUCAAGCCAUGGGAGCCGGGGGUACCUGAAGUGCGUAACCGCGAGGAGCGCCCUAGGGUAAAACUGGUGACUGGGGCUAAGUCGUAACAAGGUAGCCGUACCGGAAGGUGCGGCUGGAACACCUCCUUU